RNAcentral lists this ribosomal RNA (329 nucleotides) under Belisana sabah. RNAcentral's name for it is "partial 12S ribosomal RNA". Lineage: Eukaryota; Metazoa; Arthropoda; Arachnida; Araneae; Pholcidae. The record is from RNAcentral.
UUAUAAUUUAAUUAAAGUAGUAUUAACAUAAAAAACUAAUGUAUAAUGGCGGUUUUAAUAUAUUAGAGAAACUCGCUUAUUAAUCGAUAAUACUCGUUUAAUUUAACUUAUUUUUAUUGCUUAUAUACCGCCGUUUCAGACCUUAUUAAAAAUUUAAUUCAUAACUAUAUAACUAUUAUAAAAAAAUCAGGUCAAGGUGUAGCUUAUGAUUAUGAUUAAGUAAGUUACAAUAAAAAUAAUUUAAGGAUAAAGAAAAAAUUACUUAAUGAAAAAGAAUUUAUAUGUACAAUAAAAUUAAAAUUCUUAUUAGAAAUUAUAUAUUAAAACGC